CGUUAUACCCUCCCUCGGGUCUCGCGAGAGCCUCGCGCAUGGGGCGCGAGGGGGGGGCUCGUGGAGGGGAGGCGGGAGCCCCAGCGCGAGAGGCAGCCAGCGCGAGGCCCCGGCGGCGGCGCGGAGCGGCGCGGCCCGGCCCUCCCUCAGGGGCUUGCCUAGAUCAGGGAUCCUCACGGCAGCCUUGGAUUGCAGUUGAUCCUGUCUAUGCCAGGCAUUGCAAACAGCUUUUCUAUACAUCGGAAGCAUAAAUACGAGGUAGAGAGACCCCUGAAGUUCUUCAUGUUGGCGAAGGCAGCAGGCUGCUUAAGUGAUAGUGGUAAGGACAAUCUCUGACCUCUGUUAAUUAAAAAAGCAUAGGGUUGGCUGCCCUGUGAAAUACGGCAGUCUCCCUCCGUAAUAAUUAUGCUGCGUGUUUAACAAUAAGAUUUGUUUGUUGAUGGAAUAAACACAUCCCUAACCUCAUCCCACGCAACCGAGUGUAAAUGUAGGAGGGUGAUUUAAACAGUCUUCAAACACCUCCAGCACCAGCCUGACUUUGACAGGAAGGGGCAUAACAACUGUCCUCUAAAGUUUUGUGACUUUGCUGCUGUCUCAGUGUCGUAGCUCCUAACUUGAAGCUGCUUCAUCACUUGACAGUUGCUGAAUGUGGCGCUGGACUGGCAGAGACUUCUGGGGUUUGUGAUUAGUUUGAGAACAAACUGUAAAAACUGACGCCCCAGGCUCCCUUUGUAGACCAGUUCACCAGCAUACCUGGCUGCAAGGACUCUUGAGAGGAGCUUUCAGGCUCUCACGUGGCCUCGUGCUCAGCUUGCUGGAGGUACGUGUGGUCACGCCUGGUGCUGUUUACACUCUAAGUGCCGUUCAAACACAAACCUGUGAGCCCACCAAGCGCAGAGUUGUGGCCCUGGCUUUUGUAGGCAGGUAACCCGUUUGUCAAAGCCUGCACAAAUCGUUGACUGAAUAGGAGUUAAGAAAUCUGGAACUAAUGACACUUGCUUCUACCUUCAGCUUGAUAGACAACACUGGCUGCAGCUUCUGGGAGCCUGGGCUGUGCCAGGAACCGUGGGACAGAUCCUUGUCUCUUAUGGGCAAGGAAGACGGGUGCACAGUGAGACGAGUGACGAUGUGACUGUCAGGAGGGGGAAAACUAACGCCCAGGCUGUCCAAGACAGCAAUAUUUGACUUUUAUUUGGUCUGUAUCCUGAUACGAUAGUCUUACCUGCCACCAUACUGCACAGGUGAUGGUAAAAUAGCUCUAGCAGUCAUCAAGUUGAUGUGUCCUUUGUCUGAUCUGACUUCUUUUGUUAUUUUCUUACAGAGAGAGUUGUAGUGAGGCUGCCCUCUGCUAGGAGUGGGUGAUGAAGGGCUGAGCACUCUUGACUCAUUCAGAGCUGCAGCGUUUUGUGCAGCUACCUGGAAGGUUCGGUUGCAGUGUUUUUUGGACCCCAAGCACAGGUGACAAAGUGUUUAAUCAGUUCUGUGCUUCUCUUCUUUGUGGUGUCAGAGAGUUGGUCCGAGCAGUGGUUUGGUAUUACAGGAAGGUUUGACCUCUUCAUCCCUCUUUGCUGGAGGCUGCUUUUGCAUGUUAAAGCUUCCUGAGGAAGCCUGGGUUUCUCUGUGCCUUCAGAACAGGUCAUACGUAACAGCAGCUCCUGUGUCCACUGUUAGAUGCAGCAGAUGCAUGGAAGUCAGCUACGUCAGGGCCUGAAGGAGAUUACUCUUGGAGGAGGAUCAGUUUGCUGUGGGUGGAGGUGAGAUCCCAGUUUGUUUAGCAGGCAAGAGCAAUGGUUCAGUAUUUUGGUUUCUCCUGGUCUAGAGCUCUCGCAGAAGUUCAGAAGGAUGGUACAAAGAGUCCUGUCUUUAACGUGUCCUUGUCUUGCUGUCAUCUGUGCCUGUGUCACCUCAAGGCUAGCCUUCGCCAGGAUUUAAUCUUCUGGUGAAGAUACAGAGCUGCUGUUAUCUCCUGCGAGUUCUGCAAGCCCCAUGUCACUUCUGUGGGCUUUUCUGAGGGGGCUGCUGUCGUGGGUGGAUGUUCCUGGCCAUCUUUAUUGCUUUUAUUAUUAUGCUCGUCCUAUGCUAGGGAGCGUUUUGGCUGCUCGCCUGUUCCAUUUGUGAGAGGGCUAUUUAUCCUUUUGUGAGUUCGUGUUUGCAUAGGCCAUGCAGUUUUGCUUAAAAAAUCCAAACAUAGUCUAGUGUAGUGGAAGUCUCUCCCCUUUUUGUGGGAGAAGAACUGGCAGCUGCUUUCUCAUAACUUUUGGUUGUUGCUGAUGUGCGCUGCGGCUGAGCCAGUGCUUGAGGAGGGGAAUUCCACCUCCUGUAGCCACCCAUUUUAGCUGCACACUGUCCUAGAGUGUGGUAAUAGAAAAAUAAACUUUUUUUCACGUUGAGCAAUAAUUGAUUUCUGUGUCUUUUUCACUAAAAGCAAAAGGGGACUGUUUUCUGUAGCACAUGCAUUCACCCUCUGCUGCUAAGUUGCAUUCUUGGAGCACUUUCUCAUAUAGCUCCUAAAAAUAACAAGUCUCCCCACCCUCUUGCUGCUGCUCAGUGCGUGUGCAUGUAUUAAUGGUUAGAAAUGCAAAAAGCUAACUAAAAGAGCCUGUGUCUUCGUGAACGCGUUUUGGCCGCAUUCGGGUUUCAUUUCUGCUCUUGGCUGUACCAAGCUGACAUGCGUCGCUGCAGCCAAGUGCCGAACUUGGAGUAAGAGAUGCUGGAAGCAACAUGAACAGCCAGAACAUGUUCGCACAGUAAACCCCCUGAAGAGAUAGCAUUUGCUUUAUUAUAGCUUUUUAAAAUCCUGCUAUAAAAAUAUCAGUGGGUGGAGGGAACCAUUAUUUCUUGAAUUUGAGGUGGUGGGGGUUACUUUAUUUACUCUUAUUUUUUAUUAAUAAGAAUAGCUUCACUUGUAGCAUAAUAGGACUGAGUGUUUUGUUAUCCUUGGCUAUAAUCUGUGAUAAACUACCCCUGCCAUCAGCCUUGUAGUUUACCCACUAGGGAGCCAGAUUAUUGCCUUGUAAAACGGAGCACCACUCCUAUAAUCCCUUAAUUAAUUAAAUGACAAAUUUUAGUUCUCUCCCAUUGAAAAUAUAACUUGUACAUAGAGAGGACUUGGAUUUAUUUGAUCACUUCUUGGUUGCACUUUGUUUUUUUUCCUGUAGAUUGUCACUGUCUUUGCCUAUGU
Molecule: long non-coding RNA, 3181 nt
Organism: Falco tinnunculus (common kestrel)
Lineage: Eukaryota; Metazoa; Chordata; Aves; Falconiformes; Falconidae
Source: Ensembl